Molecule: ribosomal RNA, 784 nt
Filed under: Sphingobacteriaceae bacterium
Lineage: Bacteria; Pseudomonadati; Bacteroidota; Sphingobacteriia; Sphingobacteriales; Sphingobacteriaceae
Description: bacterial SSU rRNA
Rfam family: Bacterial small subunit ribosomal RNA
Source: RNAcentral
CAGGCCUAAUACAUGCAAGUCGAACGGGAUUUGGGAGCUUGCUUCCAAUGAGAGUGGCGCACGGGUGCGUAACACGUAUGUAACCUACCUUAAUCUGGGGGAUAGCCUCUCGAAAGAGAGAUUAACACCGCAUAACAUUACCGGAUAGCAUUUUCUGGUAAUCAAAUAUUUAUAGGAUUAAGAUGGGCAUGCGGAACAUUAGCUAGUUGGUAAGGUAAUGGCUUACCAAGGCUACGAUGUUUAGGGGAUCUGAGAGGAUGACCCCCCACACUGGUACUGAGACACGGACCAGACUCCUACGGGAGGCAGCAGUAAGGAAUAUUGGUCAAUGGGCGCAAGCCUGAACCAGCCAUGCCGCGUGCAGGAAGACGGCCCUACGGGUUGUAAACUGCUUUUGUACCGGAAUAAACCUUUUCACGUGUGAGAAGCUGAAUGUACGGUAAGAAUAAGGAUCGGCUAACUCCGUGCCAGCAGCCGCGGUAAUACGGAGGAUCCAAGCGUUAUCCGGAUUUAUUGGGUUUAAAGGGUGCGUAGGCGGUUCUUUAAGUCAGGGGUGAAAGACGGUAGCUUAACUAUCGCAGUGCCUUUGAUACUGAAGAACUUGAAUACACUUGAGGUAGGCGGAAUGUGACAAGUAGCGGUGAAAUGCAUAGAUAUGUCACAGAACACCAAUUGCGAAGGCAGCUUACUAAAGUGUCAUUGACGCUGAGGCACGAAAGCGUGGGGAUCAAACAGGAUUAGAUACCCUGGUAGUCCACGCCCUAAACGAUGAAUACUCGAUGUU